UCCUACGGGGGGCAGCAGUGGGGGAUAUUGGACAAUGGGGGGAAUCCUGAUCCAGCGACGCCGCGUGAGUGAAGAAGUAUUUCGGUAUGUAAACUUCUUUUGUCAAGGGACAAAAUCAGGCUCGAGAGCCUGACCGAGGGUACUUGAAGAAAAAGCAUCGGCUAACUCCGUGCCAGCAGCCGCGGUAAUACGGAGGAUGCGAGCGUUAUCCGGAUUUAUUGGGUUUAAAGGGUGCGUAGGCGGGCUGUUAAGUCAGCGGUAAAAGCCCGGGGCUCAACCCCGGCGAGCCGUGGAAACUGGCUGUC
Molecule: ribosomal RNA, 305 nt
Filed under: uncultured bacterium
Lineage: Bacteria
Description: bacterial SSU rRNA
Rfam family: Bacterial small subunit ribosomal RNA
Source: RNAcentral